Molecule: non-coding RNA, 29 nt
Filed under: Mus musculus (house mouse)
Lineage: Eukaryota; Metazoa; Chordata; Mammalia; Rodentia; Muridae
Source: RNAcentral
UCUAACUACCCCAAGCUCUCACACAGUGG